RNAcentral lists this small RNA (130 nucleotides) under Marmota monax (woodchuck). Lineage: Eukaryota; Metazoa; Chordata; Mammalia; Rodentia; Sciuridae. The record is from RNAcentral.
GCCGGGUGCAGUGGUGUACACUUGUAAUCCAGUGGCUCUGGAGGCUGAGGCAGGAGGAUCAUGAGUUCAGAGCCAGCUUCAGCAACUUACUGAGGCCCUGAGCAACACAGUGAGAGAGACCCUGUCUCCA